GACGAACGCUGGCGGCGUGCUUAACACAUGCAAGUCGAACGGAAAGGCCCUGCUUUUGUGGGGUGCUCGAGUGGCGAACGGGUGAGUAACACGUGAGUAACCUGCCCUUGACUUUGGGGUAACUUCAGGAAACUUGGGCUAAUACCGGAUAGGAGCUCCUGCUGCAUGGUGGGGGUUGGAAAGUUUCGGCGGUUGGGGAUGGACUCGCGGCUUAUCAGCUUGUUGGUGGGGUAGUGGCUUAGCAAGGCUUUGACGGGUAGCCGGCCUGAGAGGGUGACCGGCCACAUUGGGACUGAGAUACGGCCCAGACUCCUACGGGAGGCAGCAGUGGAGAAUAGUACACAAUGGGCGGAAGCCUGAUGCAGCAACGCCGCGUGCGGGAUGACGGCCUUCGGGUUGUAAACCGCUUUCGCCUGUGACGAAGCGUGAGUGACGGUAAUGGGUAAAGAAGCACCGGCUAACUACGUG
RNAcentral lists this ribosomal RNA (468 nucleotides) under uncultured bacterium. Its description in RNAcentral is "partial 16S ribosomal RNA". It matches the Rfam family "Bacterial small subunit ribosomal RNA", at positions 28 to 507 of the family's 1533-position model. The record is from RNAcentral.